GUACGGGAGGCAGCAGUGGGGAAUAUUGGACAAUGGGCGCAAGCCUGAUCCAGCAAUGCCGCGUGAGUGAAGAAGGUCUUCGGAUUGUAAAGCUCUUUUGGCGGGGACGAUGAUGACGGUACCCGCAGAAUAAGCCCCGGCUAACUUCGUGCCAGCAGCCGCGGUAAUACGAAGGGGGCUAGCGUUGCUCGGAAUGACUGGGCGUAAAGGGCGCGUAGGCGGAUUGUACAGUCAGACGUGAAAUUCCUGGGCUCAACCUGGGGGCUGCGUUUGAUACGUAUAGUCUUGAGUGAGGAAGAGGGUUGUGGAAUUCCCAGUGUAGAGGUGAAAUUCGUAGAUAUUGGGAAGAACACCGGUGGCGAAGGCGGCAACCUGGUCCUUUACUGACGCUGAGGCGCGAAAGCGUGGGGAGCAAACAGGAUUAGAUACCCCCGUAGUCC
This 440-nucleotide ribosomal RNA is filed under the name uncultured bacterium. RNAcentral describes it as "bacterial SSU rRNA". It matches the Rfam family "Bacterial small subunit ribosomal RNA", at positions 339 to 796 of the family's 1533-position model. The record is from RNAcentral.